Panicum virgatum (switchgrass) is the source of this 824-nucleotide long non-coding RNA. RefSeq lists it as uncharacterized. The record is from RefSeq and is a predicted model, not a curated record. NCBI's taxonomy places the organism in Eukaryota, Viridiplantae, Streptophyta, Magnoliopsida, Poales, Poaceae. The transcript is spliced from 2 exons.
GGGGAUGCUAGCCAUGGCCCUCCAUGGCCGCCGGAAAACUAAGUGACUCCCGUACGGGAGACUCAGAAAGGACGUCAACGAUUCCUAUCCAAAAGCAGAGGGCAAUAUAGUCCACUCAUGUUGCAAUUACAUAGAAGAAUAUUAGAAAAGAUGAGAAAUACAUCAAAUGGUACAAAAAUCAAAUGGCCAACGUUUGGGAGCCUAUUUUUGCGAAACCAAUGUUAGAGAUGGCAAAACUGCGAAGCCUAUUGUUUCAAGUCCCAAAUAUGCAAUUUUCUCUCCUCAGUGCUGUAUCUUGAUUCGUUUGCAGGCGCCUAAAGCUGAACCCAAAGGACAGAAGGAGAAAUGAUGCGAAGGAGCAUGUCUCCCUCAAGCUUAAGCUGAUGCGAACUUCAGCGAAACCUGACACUGUCAUAGAGGCAUGUUUCAAGUUCUGGAUAUAUGAUCAGUCCUUUGGAAAGCACAGUGAGCAUCUAGGUAACCACAGCUUCCAGGCUACAAACACAGCUUCUGGCAGCUCAUGCAUGACAACUCAUGCAUGAUACCCCUGAAGAAACUGAAGACCUCUGGAUUUCUUGUCAACAACAUAGUAGUUGUAUACAGAUCAUUAAUUGAAUUGUGGUUCGAUGUUUAUUUUUUAUGUUUGUGUUGAGGCUAAAGUCGCAAUCGUUGACCCCUCCAAGACAGAGUAGUUUCAGAAAUCUGUGAGAGCUGAUGAGAUUAUUCUAACUGGCACCAGCUGUAUGAAGUGUUCCAUAGCACCGUGACAUAUUGAGACUGUCUUCUUGUUUGGAACUUCAAAUAUCUCAUAUCUGAACAUACCA